GUUUGUUAAGUCUCUGGGGAAAUCUUCCGGCUUAACCGGAAGGCGUCUCAGGGAUACUGGCAGACUAGGGACCGGGAGAGGUGAGGGGUACUUCAGGGGUAGGAGUGAAAUCCUGUAAUCCUUGGGGGACCACCUGUGGCGAAGGCGUCUCACCAGAACGGCUCCGACAGUGAGGGACGAAAGCUGGGGGAGCAAACCGGAUUAGAUACCCGGGUAGUCCCAGCUGUAAACGAUGCGCGUUAGGUGUAUCGGUGACCACGAGUCACCGAGGUGCCGAAGAGAAAUCGUGAAACGUGCCGCCUGGGAAGUACGGUCGCAAGGCUGAAACUUAAAGGAAU
Molecule: ribosomal RNA, 338 nt
Filed under: uncultured euryarchaeote
Lineage: Archaea; Methanobacteriati; Methanobacteriota
Description: bacterial SSU rRNA
Rfam family: Archaeal small subunit ribosomal RNA
Source: RNAcentral